Molecule: non-coding RNA, 110 nt
Organism: Acanthosepion pharaonis
Lineage: Eukaryota; Metazoa; Mollusca; Cephalopoda; Sepiida; Sepiidae
Source: the annotation of a GenBank genome assembly
UACGGCGAUAUUACGUUGAAACACAGGUUUCCUUACGAUAACCGAAGUUAAGCAACGUGAGCCUGUUUAGUUGCGAAAUGGGUGACCGCUUAGGAAUACCAGGUGUUGUA